This 905-nucleotide long non-coding RNA is filed under the name Marmota monax (woodchuck). Lineage: Eukaryota; Metazoa; Chordata; Mammalia; Rodentia; Sciuridae. The record is from RNAcentral.
GCAAGAAAGAAAAGAAUGAGCCCAGACCAGGCAAGACAAACAGAAAGCCCCAAAAGAGGUGGCAAAUUUAAAAGCAAAUAGAUCAAUAAGAUCAUUAAAAUGUGCCUGAACCAUUUUCUCUAAGCACAUGAAAAAAAAAAUUCAACUAAAUGAACUAAAAAUAAUCAAAAACCGAACUAUUUUGCUCUUUUAUUAAUUAAUUCAUUGGUUUGUCUCUAUUUGUUUUUGUAGCACUGGGGAUCAAACACAGAGCCUUGCACACACCAAGCUAAGCAAGCCUCUACCACUGAGCUACAUCCUCAGCCCUAUGUGGCUUCAAACACUUCUUGAAAAUAAGGGCUCCAGAAGGUUGAAAGCUGAAGGAUUGGGAAAGCUAUACCAUGCAAACACUAACCAAAGGGAAGCUAGUUUAGUGAUCCUAAUAUCAGACAAGCAAACAAUAAUACAAGAGUGAUUUGUCUUUUUACUAUGGUAAAUUUAAUAAUGAAUGUAUAAUGGUAAAAGGGUUAAUCAAUCUGUACAUAAUAUCUUAAACAAAAUAGAUUAAGCAAAACCUGACAAAACUCAAAUGAGAAAUUAAAAAGUCCACAUUUAUAGUUGGAAAUAUGAGCACAACUCUUUCAAGAAUAGAGACAAAAAUGUCAAUAAGAAGACUUAUCUUUAUGUUCAAUACAUUCCCAACAAAGAUGUGGAUACUGCACUCAGUGGCUGCAGAGUAAACAAUUCCUUUCAAGAAGACAAGGAAUCCUGACCAGAACCAAGCUCCUACACUGGGUUAGAAAGUAGCUCUCAACAAAUUUCAAACAGAAUAUGUAUUCUGAUAAUCACGAUGAAGCUAAAAUCAUUAACAAAUUUGUGAUUUUAAAAUAGCCAAAUGUUUUGAAAUUCUAAAAAGAACACAGUCA